RNAcentral lists this ribosomal RNA (364 nucleotides) under Fructilactobacillus sanfranciscensis. Its description in RNAcentral is "bacterial SSU rRNA". It matches the Rfam family "Bacterial small subunit ribosomal RNA", at positions 71 to 411 of the family's 1533-position model. Lineage: Bacteria; Bacillati; Bacillota; Bacilli; Lactobacillales; Lactobacillaceae. The record is from RNAcentral.
UCUUARUGCUUGCACUAAGAUGAUUUUGGAUCCGACUGAGUGGCGAACUGGUGAGUAACACGUGGGUAACCUGCCCAGAAGAAGGGGAUAACACCUGGAAACAGAUGCUAAUACCGUAUAACAACAAGAACCACAUGGUUYUUGKUUGAAAGCUGGCCUUUGUGCUAGUGCUUCUGGAUGGACCCGCGGCGUAUUARCUAGUUGGUGAGAUAAUAGCUCACCAAGGCAAUGAUACGUAGCAGACCUGAGAGGGUAAUCUGCCACAAUGGGACUGARACACGGCCCAUACUCCUACGGGAGGCAGCAGUAGGGAAUCUUCCACAAUGGACGAAAGUCUGAUGGAGCAACGCCGCGUGAGUGAAGA